RNAcentral lists this ribosomal RNA (459 nucleotides) under uncultured bacterium. Its description in RNAcentral is "partial 16S ribosomal RNA". It matches the Rfam family "Bacterial small subunit ribosomal RNA", at positions 338 to 795 of the family's 1533-position model. The record is from RNAcentral.
CCUACGGAGUGCUGCAGUGAGGAAUAUUGGUCAAUGGUCGGGAGACUGAACCAGCCAAGCCGCGUGCGGGCUGAAGGUACAGAGUAUCGUCAACCUCUUUUGUCAGGGAACCAAGCCGGGGACGCGUCCCCGGAUGAGUGUACCUGAAGAAAAAGCAUCGGCUAACUCCGUGCCAGCAGCCGCGGUAAUACGGGGGAUGCGAGCGUUAUCCGGUUUUAUUGGGUUUAAGGGGUGCGCAGGCGGUCUGUUAAGUCAGCGGUAAAAGCCCGGGGCUCAACCCCGGCCCGCCGUUGAAACUGGCAGUCUCGAGUUGGAGAGAAGUAUGCGGAAUGCGCGGUGUAGCGGUGAAAGGCAUAGAUAUCGCGCAGAACUCCGAUUGCGAAGGCAGCAUGCCGGCUCCACACUGACGCUGAGGCACGAAAGCGUGGGUAUCGAACAGGAUUAGAUACCCCGGUAGUC